CCUGAUCUCAGUAAAAUGUCUGGAGCAUGAUCACACAGUUCUUAUGUCAGCCCCUGAGCUUUGCCCUACCAGCAUCUCUUGUAAUAACAACUUUGCCACAAAUUCUGAGAUGACUGAGCAAGAAUAUAUUGCCCCUGGUCUGGCUUUGAUUCAUGUACAGAGAUGUACACAAGUGACAGGACUAACGAAGAUCAGUUUCUAUAUUAGACCUUCUGUCUUCUGAUACCAGCCCACCAGUGUUCUGUUUCCUUUGUCUAUGCUUGUAUUAAGUGCCAUGUGUAGGCUGGGUUCAAGAAGCUGCUUUCCUUAUCAUAACAGUUUCAAACUUCAUUACUUUUGCCACCCCUCUU
This 350-nucleotide long non-coding RNA is filed under the name Bos taurus (domestic cattle). Its description in RNAcentral is "long non-coding RNA NONBTAT019140". Lineage: Eukaryota; Metazoa; Chordata; Mammalia; Artiodactyla; Bovidae. The record is from RNAcentral.